This 332-nucleotide ribosomal RNA is filed under the name uncultured bacterium. Its description in RNAcentral is "bacterial SSU rRNA". It matches the Rfam family "Bacterial small subunit ribosomal RNA", at positions 568 to 898 of the family's 1533-position model. The record is from RNAcentral.
CGUGUAGGCGGUCGGUUAAGUCUGAUGUGAAAGCCCGGGGCUUAACCUCGGAAGGGCGUUGGAAACUGGCCGACUUGAGUUCGGGAGAGGGAAGCGGAAUUCCGGGUGUAGAGGUGAAAUUCGUAGAUAUCCGGAGGAACACCGGUGGCGAAGGCGGCUUCCUGGACCGAAACUGACGCUGAGACGCGAAGGCGUGGGGAGCAAACAGGAUUAGAUACCCUGGUAGUCCACGCUGUAAACGAUGGGCACUAGGUGUGGGGGGUUUUUAAUCCCUCCGUGCCGCAGCUAACGCAUUAAGUGCCCCGCCUGGGGAGUACGGCCGCAAGGUUAAA